GGAGGAGUGGCAGAGCGGUUGAAUGCACCGGUCUUGAAAACCGGCAUACGUGUGAGCGUAUCGGGGGUUCGAAUCCCUCCUCCUCCGCCA
Molecule: transfer RNA, 90 nt
Filed under: Bacteroidota bacterium
Lineage: Bacteria; Pseudomonadati; Bacteroidota
Also listed under: 1 other name
Description: Bacteroidetes bacterium tRNA-Ser
Rfam family: tRNA
About the family: Transfer RNA (tRNA) molecules are approximately 80 nucleotides in length.
Source: RNAcentral